Molecule: ribosomal RNA, 497 nt
Filed under: uncultured bacterium
Lineage: Bacteria
Description: partial 16S ribosomal RNA
Rfam family: Bacterial small subunit ribosomal RNA
Source: RNAcentral
GAUGAACGCUGGCGGCGUGCCUAAUACAUGCAAGUCGAGCGAACGGACGAGAAGCUUGCUUCUCUGAUGUUAGCGGCGGACGGGUGAGUAACACGUGGAUAACCUACCUAUAAGACUGGGAUAACUUCGGGAAACCGGAGCUAAUACCGGAUAAUAUUUUGAACCGCAUGGUUCAAAAGUAAAAGACGGUCUUGCUGUCACUUAUAGAUGGAUCCGCGCUGCAUUAGCUAGUUGGUAAGGUAACGGCUUACCAAGGCAACGAUGCAUAGCCGACCUGAGAGGGUGAUCGGCCACACUGGAACUGAGACACGGUCCAGACUCCUACGGGAGGCAGCAGUAGGGAAUCGUACGCAAUGGGCGAAAGCCUGACGGAGCAACGCCGCGUGAGUGAUGAAGGUCUUCGGAUCGUAAAACUCUGUUAUUAGGGAAGAACAUAUGUGUAAGUAACUGUGCACAUCUUGACGGUACCUAAUCAGAAAGCCACGGCUAACUACGUG